AAGGAUCAUUACCGAGUACCGGGUCUUCGGGCCCUUACUCCCACCCUUUGUGUACCUACCUUUUUUCGUUGCCUCGGUGGGGUUGAUCCCAGCGGCCUAGCCGCGGGGGGACCCGCCGGGGGGACACCCCUAAACUCUUGUCAACAGUGACGUCUGAGAAAAAAACAAACUAGUCAAAACUUUCAACAACGGAUCUCUUGGUUCUG
This 206-nucleotide unclassified non-coding RNA is filed under the name uncultured fungus. RNAcentral describes it as "partial contains 18S rRNA, ITS1, 5.8S rRNA, ITS2 and 28S rRNA". The record is from RNAcentral. Lineage: Eukaryota; Fungi.